RNAcentral lists this ribosomal RNA (253 nucleotides) under uncultured bacterium. Its description in RNAcentral is "partial 16S ribosomal RNA". It matches the Rfam family "Bacterial small subunit ribosomal RNA", at positions 524 to 776 of the family's 1533-position model. The record is from RNAcentral.
UACGGGGGGGGCAAGCGUUGUUCGGAAUUACUGGGCGUAAAGGGCGCGUAGGCGGUUUGCUAAGUUGGAUGUGAAAACUCUGGGCUUAACCCAGAGCCUGCAUCCAAAACUGGCUGACUUGAGUACUGGAGGGGAAAGCGGAAUUCCUGGUGUAGCGGUGAAAUGCGUAGAUAUCAGGAGGAACACCGGUGGCGAAGGCGGCUUUCUGGACAGUAACUGACGCUGAGACGCGAAAGCGUGGGGAGCGAACAGG